This 1684-nucleotide unclassified non-coding RNA is filed under the name Cyanidioschyzon merolae strain 10D. Its description in RNAcentral is "hypothetical transcript". The record is from RNAcentral. Lineage: Eukaryota; Rhodophyta; Bangiophyceae; Cyanidiales; Cyanidiaceae.
AAGCCUGGAACGCGCUCAAACAGCCGCACGCUGCGCUACUCUGGAAUAACUAGAUCCAGCAAGCUACAAAAACCCAAGUGCAGUGCACCUAUGCGAAGUAGACGUUGCUUGAGGUACGCUUUGCAUACCGAUGCAAGGGGCGAGUGCCAGCGUUGUCGGGCGCCCCGACACCGUCGCCGCUGUCGACGCUGCGGGCUCGUACGGCACAGCAGCGCUCGUUGGCCUGCAGUGGCGCUUGGGGAAAGCGUAACGCGGAAAUGCUCAAUCGAUUCGAGCACUGAGACUUUGUUCUGAAUUGAUUUUAGAUGUAUUGACGAAAUGUGAACGUGGAGCAGCAGAAGGCUUAUGGGAGCGCACGUGAGAUGUUAGGAAUCCCGGACGUCUUUUCGCGAAGGCACCUUCGAAGCGCUGCUCCUCGAACUCGUUAUUUCACCGGAAUCAAGGUGAUUCGCGAUGCCCUCGACCUCUAUUUCGGAAUAUAAGCGAUAGUAUUGUUUUGUUCACAGAACAAGGUUCCAGUCUGCUGCUUGCUUUAGGAGUAGCGUGCGCGAUUCACGCAUGCUUCAACGUUUCAAUCUAUCACGGCAAGUCGUGUGCGCAACAAGUCGCACUACUGGACAGGCGGGUGCGUCAAAGAACACGUCGUCGUCGUUUGAUGGCCUGUUCAUAAGCUCAAUCCGAAAGUUGAUUGGGAUUUUCCCAGCACAUUAUCGAUUCCGUUCAAAAGACAAAUCGCCUUCUAGUCAACGCAUCUCGCAAAGCAGAAUUCCACAGCAACUUCAUCAGACUGAUCAUUGAUUCGCAGUUGAGUCAUCACAGUGAUCGCUUCCGUUUCAGCGUGCGACUGCGCCUUGCACGAGGCGAGCGUAGACAGAUCGCAAUUCCGCGCCUUGUUCCCCGGCGUCGAUUCGCCUUGUGGCACGUGUUUCUCCACAGACAACACCCCGUUCCACGAAUUACGUAUCGAGUGGAGAAGCGUGCGCCUGUGCAUCUAGCGGACAGCGUCCCCGCCCGAGGGAUUGCCCAGACGAGGCCUGGAAUCGUAGGGUACGGCGCCGGGCGCGGAAACGAAGGUAUGGGCGUCGGAGGUGCACCCUGCGUAGGCGUCAGCGGCAUGCGCCGAGCGAAGAAACAAGCGUUCAUGCUCCAGAAGACAUGGAACGGGAAGAGGAAUUUGUGAUGGGUGAACGGGAGCAGUUGAUCGUCGUUAGGAAUCAUCGCUGCGCCCUGUGCACCGAUGCUCUACGCAUCGAAGAUGAAAAUGACAAGCGAGGCGUAGCUUGCAACGUUCGCCUGUAUGUGGAUUAUGUCGACAAUAGCCGAACACAUUGAAAUCGGGACGCAAACACUGCCAACAACGUCCGGCGACUUUUGUCAAAGGACUGCGAGAGUGAGCAGAGACCGGUCUAAUGAGGAUCAGGGUGUCGAAAAGGAUGCAGUCACAGAAAAAGCGUGCAGCAGCUGCUGUUAUCGAUAGUGGAAGAGACCCAAUUUUCAACGAGUACACCAGUGUUCGGGAACCUGCCCCAGUGCAUUCCGACAAGGGUGCAGAGCGCAUCACCGCGCACCGGCUGCAAUAGUGCAUAAACAGGAAUCGUAGAAUGCAAAAGGAACUUGCUUGCGACGGAGAUGCAAGCUUAGAAUCAAGCACCGACAAGGUACGUACAUAAACACGAAUCACAGA